AAAGAUUUAGUUUAAGAAAAACAAAAAACUGCAAAUUUUUAGAUUUAUUUAAGAUAAAGUCUUGU
RNAcentral lists this transfer RNA (65 nucleotides) under Yuukianura szeptyckii. RNAcentral's name for it is "tRNA-Cys". Lineage: Eukaryota; Metazoa; Arthropoda; Collembola; Poduromorpha; Neanuridae. The record is from RNAcentral.